Molecule: transfer RNA, 74 nt
Filed under: Candidatus Pacearchaeota archaeon CG10_big_fil_rev_8_21_14_0_10_31_24
Lineage: Archaea; Nanobdellati
Description: tRNA-Arg
Rfam family: tRNA
About the family: Transfer RNA (tRNA) molecules are approximately 80 nucleotides in length. Their secondary structure includes four short double-helical elements and three loops (D, anti-codon, and T loops). Further hydrogen bonds mediate the characteristic L-shaped molecular structure. tRNAs have two regions of fundamental functional importance: the anti-codon, which is responsible for specific mRNA codon recognition, and the 3' end, to which the tRNAs corresponding amino acid is attached (by aminoacyl-tRNA synthetases). tRNAs cope with the degeneracy of the genetic code in two manners: having more than one tRNA (with a specific anti-codon) for a particular amino acid; and 'wobble' base-pairing, i.e. permitting non-standard base-pairing at the 3rd anti-codon position.
Source: RNAcentral
GCCCUUAUAGUUCAGUCUGGAUAGAAUGUGACCUUGCGGAGGUUAAGACCGAGGUUCAAAUCCUCGUAGGGGCA